This is a long non-coding RNA of Prionailurus viverrinus (fishing cat), 3940 nucleotides long. RefSeq lists it as uncharacterized. NCBI's taxonomy places the organism in Eukaryota, Metazoa, Chordata, Mammalia, Carnivora, Felidae. The transcript is spliced from 4 exons. The record is from RefSeq and is a predicted model, not a curated record.
UUCUGAUUCUGUGUCUCCCUCUCUCUCUGCCCCUCCCCUGCUCAUGCUCUGUCUCUCAAAAAUAAAUAAAUGUUAAAAAACAAAAACAAAAACCCGUUUUAGAAUAACACUUUUUUCCCCAUUGCUCCUUGGGGGUAAAUUUAUUUCACUGUUUGGAGAUGUCUCUGCCACGAUUUAAGUCAAGUGUAAAGAAAUUUUAUAAAUAAAAACAUUAAAAACCUUUUUAAAAGAGGGGUGCCUGGGGGGCUCAGUUAGUUAAGUGUCCGACUUUGGCUCAAGUGAUGGUCUCACAGUUCAUGGGUUCGAGCCCCACGCUGGGCUCUGCUGACAGCACCAGGCUGGAACCUGCUGCGGGUUCUGUCUCCUUCUCUCUCUUUGCCGCCCCUCCCCCCCGCCUGCCCGCCGUUUGCGCUCUGUCUCUCUCAAAAAUAAACCUUAAAAAAAAAAAUGCCUAUGUUGAAAUAAGAACUUUUGUUUAUGUGACAGAAUGGAAAGACAAACCACAAAAGGGACAAAGAUACAGAUACAUCCUACAAAGGAGAUACGUCUCUCUCUCUCUCACGAUCUAUGUCACCCUGAUAUAGAUCUAUCUUUCAAGGGAUCCAGGUUAUAUGAAGAAUUCCCGUACAUCAGAAAGAAGAAAGAUGACUUACAAAAUAAUGGGCAAAAGAUAUGAACCGGCAUUUUUUAUAAUAUAAUGUAGAAAUGGAGAAUAAACAUGAAAAGAGGCUCAUUAGUAAUGAAAAAUCAAAUUAGGAUCAUAAUGAGCUAUUCUUUUAUACCCCUCAGGAAAAAUGAAGACUCAAUAUCAGGUGUUGAUGAGGAUGUGGAACAAUAGGAACGAUCACACACCGCUGUAAAAAAGAAAAUGCCAUUGCCAAUCCAGUGUACGUACUAUAGGGAAAAAAAACAUAGCUUGAGAUUGAUUUUUCUGUUAACUCAUUCACUUUAGUAGACCAGUCCCAGUGACCAUCUGAAGUAUAUGAAACCCAAAGACUUACAGGCUCUUCACCUAUUCCUCAGACUCUGGUUGCUACUGGUCACUAAUACUGUCAAAGAUGGACUUUCAGACACAUCUUUCCUAAAGUUCAAAAAUGGCACCUGGUGGCUCAGUCGGUUAAGCCUCUGACUCUUGAUUUAGGCUCAGGUCAUGAUCUCACAGUUCCUGGGCUCAAGCCCUGAGUUGGGAUUCUCUCCCUUUCUGCUCCUCCCCCGCUCAUGCACACGUGCACUCCUGUGAAGGACCUCUCUCAAGCCUUUGUUUUCUUGUUCAAGUUGAAAUAUUUGUUCCAGUACCUUGCACCCCUGUUGCUUUUCAGUUUCAAUGGCUUUCCUCAUUACUGCUGUCAUUUCCGUUAUCUGAUCAACAUGCAGUUGGAAUUUCUGAUUUGCUUCCAAGUGCCUCCUCUCCGGUCCAUGUUGAGAUGUUUCAAAGAUGUGUCAGGAUGCAUCAAAGAAGACUCCAGAGCUGUUACAACAACCCAUGUCAGUCUGGGAGUGCUGCUCUUUUGACUUCAUUAUAUCCAGAUCAUCUUUUUUGCUAGCCGUUAGCAGUCUAACUAUGGAUGUUCUUCCAGGUCUCUCCAAUUCCAGUCUCUCUCAAGGAAUGAAAAGCAGUAGCAGAGUCUCCAGUCUUCUUCUGGGACGUAAUGGAUGACUCAGAGGUCCUCUGUCUGUGUCCACUGUGGUUUAUCUGGGACUCUGAACUGCCUCAGACCUUGUCCAUAUUCGAUGGCCAUGGAAACCGAUGUCCAAGGGGCGAGAUGGACCAGGAGAGCAGACACUCAGACUCUCUCGAAAGGUCUGCCUUCUGACAGCCCAUGGUGAUGCCAGAGGGACAGAAGUGCCCAGAGGUAAAGAGCUUCGGGCCCCCACCACCCCGGCGGCCCCCCGCCGUGGCUCAGAGAUCUCACCUCCAAGGCGCUGCGGUUAAGCUGUAUUCUGGCAUCCACCACCACCUUGGCCAGGAAGGAUAUGGUGCCCAGCAGUGCCAAUAAGUCAGAGGGCGAGCUCACCACCUUCGCCUGCUCCGACAGCUCAGCCAGGAUCUGUGGCGCCUCCACAGCAGGCCAGCCCUGGCCUGCCCGCAGCAGCUGAGACAGACCAGACAGAGCAGGAAGUGGGGGGGGUGGGGGGAUGGGCGAGUCGUCACAAGGGAGGGGCCACUCCUCCCCCAUCCAGCUCUUUCCUCCCCAGCCCUGCUCCAGUCCCCGGGGGAGCGGGAAGCCACACGGAAGGAACUCACACCCGUGUUAGUGGGCUGGACACUUGGUGGAAUUAGGAUUGGAGGAGAACGCCCUUCCCACCAUGAGAGUCUCGUGCAUCUGUGGCCCCCACCCUCAUACCCUGGCUCUGCCAGGCUCCGGUUCAGGGAAGGUGAGGGGCCUCCAGGCCAGGCCUCAGGAGGAAAAGGUUCUAAAGCUAGGUCCCGAGCGAGAAAGGGGUAGGUCAUGGAGGGCGAGGCCUGGAGCAGUGGGGCUUGAAGCUUUACCCAGGCUCUGUGAAACAAGGCCAGGACCCCUGCGUCCGUGCAGCCGCCGUGGAUGGGCUCCCAACUGCCAUCAGGCCCGCAGGUCCGCUUCACCACACCUGUCCUGUUCACUGGACACGGGGCCUGUGCCACGUGGCCAGCCUUGGUGACAUUCCAGGCAACAGCUGAGGAGUCCUCAGGGCAGGUGGUGUCUCCGUCUGAAGAAUGAUACCAAGGAGGCUCAGCAACCGUGGUCUAGCCCCAGCCUCUCCCGCGUUCGGGGUCUGGAGACUGGCCGUGUGGCCCAGUGUGGGGGAAACGUCGAGGAGCUCCCAGGGCGAGCAGGUGAGAGCUUGGACCCAACCAGCUGGACCCCGAGCCCCACGUACCCUGGAUGAUGGUGACAGAGACGGGGACCCUGAGAGGGGUCAGUCCUGGGCUCUGCAGCUCACAAGUAUACGUGGUGUCAGCGGCAGGGCAGCGCUGAACGGUCAGCACGAGGCACCAGGAGCCUGGCGUGUUGACUAAGGAGGCUGAAGGUGACACGAGAGAGAGGGGAGCGGUUACUGGGCCUGGAGCAGACCCAGAACCCGGCCGGCCCAGAGAUGCCCUUUCAGUCUCUAGCAACUUCGGAAGCAGAUGAUGCCGUGGGGCAGAGUGGAGUUGUGUGCGAGCAUCAAACUGCAGAGGCGGAGCUUGGGUCUUGGUGAAGGGCGCCUGGGGGUCUCUAACCAGCCCCAGGACUCGAAGCCAGCUUGCAAAAUGGGGACUAUCAUCAAAGGAACUUCACAGAGUGUGUGGCCAGAGUUCAUUAAGGUCGUGGGAAAACAUUUUGUGAGCAGUUAUCUACACUCAUGCGGUUACUGCUGUAUCAGGAGGGUUAGGAUCGCUCACGGGGUAACCACGGUAUUGAAUGAACUUGGACCCGGAGCCCCACGUUGAACUGCAGCCUCUCUGCUUCCUGGGAGUUGAACAGCCAGCUGCUUGGAGGACACCAGCUGCCCCUUGUCCCCUGAGCCAGACACAGCGCUCGUACCUUUGCUGCCCUCUGCGGGGCUCCAGGAAGCCGUGUAGACCAGGUGUGUACUGGGGAGGCAGCAGCUCAGCUGGAAACCGGGGCUGGUGGCGCAGGAGAUGGAGAGCUGGUCUGGAAGCCGGGCCACGUCUGUCACCUGCAGGGGCACCUUCACCACCUGGUACAGCUCCCACCUGAAUCCCUGAGCUUCGAAGCGGCACGUGUACUCACCUGCAGAUACACACCUGCUGUACCUCCCGGCUCCUCCGGCCCCACCCCUGCGCCGCAGAAGCUCUCCUGCCAGGUCUGGCCUCUGCUUAAGCCCAGCAAGAAAGAUCCCUGCCUGGGUGGCUCAGUCGGUUGCACAUCUGACUUCGGCUCAGGUCAUGAUCUCACAGCUCGUGGGUUCGAGCCCCACUUCGGGCUCCGUGCCGACAGCUCAGAGCCUGAAGCCU